UACGAGAGCCUCGAGCGUUAUCCGGAAUUAUUGGGCGUAAAGGGUGCGUAGGUUGUUCUGUUAGUCUUUUGUCAAAGCCAGGGGCUUAACCUCUGAUACGCGAAAGAAACGGCAGAACUUGAAAGUGUGAGGGGUGUACGGAACUCAUGGUGUAGGGGUGAAAUCCGUUGAUAUCAUGGGGAACACCAAAAGCGAAAGCAGUACACUGGCGCAUAUUUGACACUGAAGCACGAAAGCGUGGGUAGCGAAUGGG
Molecule: ribosomal RNA, 253 nt
Filed under: uncultured bacterium
Lineage: Bacteria
Description: partial 16S ribosomal RNA
Rfam family: Bacterial small subunit ribosomal RNA
Source: RNAcentral